Molecule: ribosomal RNA, 156 nt
Filed under: uncultured bacterium
Lineage: Bacteria
Description: partial 16S ribosomal RNA
Rfam family: Bacterial small subunit ribosomal RNA
Source: RNAcentral
AGGGAAUCUUCCACAAUGGACGCAAGUCUGAUGGAGCAACGCCGCGUGAGUGAGGAAGGUUUUCGGAUCGUAAAGCUCUGUUGUUGGUGAAGAAGGAUAGAGGUAGUAACUGGCCUUUAUUUGACGGUAAUCAACCAGAAAGUCACGGCUAACUAC